ACGCUGGCGGCAGGCCUAACACAUGCAAGUCGAGCGGUAGAGAGAAGCUUGCUUCUCUUGAGAGCGGCGGACGGGUGAGUAAUGCCUAGGAAUCUGCCUGGUAGUGGGGGAUAACGUUCGGAAACGGACGCUAAUACCGCAUACGUCCUACGGGAGAAGGCAGGGGACCUUCGGGCCUUGCGCUAUCAGAUGAGCCUAGGUCGGAUUAGCUAGUUGGUGGGGUAAUGGCUCACCAAGGCGACGAUCCGUAACUGGUCUGAGAGGAUGAUCAGUCACACUGGAACUGAGACACGGUCCAGACUCCUACGGGAGGCAGCAGUGGGGAAUAUUGGACAAUGGGCGAAAGCCUGAUCCAGGCAUGCCGCGUGUGUGAAGAAGGUCUUCGGAUUGUAAAGCACUUUAAGUUGGGAGGAAGGGCAGUAAAUUAAUACUUUGCUGUUUUGACGUUACCGACAGAAUAAGCACCGGCUAACUCUGUGCCAGCAGCCGCGGUAAUACAGAGGGUGCAAGCGUUAAUCGGAAUUACUGGGCGUAAAGCGCGCGUAGGUGGUUAGUUAAGUUGGAUGUGAAAUCCCCGGGCUCAACCUGGGAACUGCAUUCAAAACUGACUGACUAGAGUAUGGUAGAGGGUGGUGGAAUUUCCUGUGUAGCGGUGAAAUGCGUAGAUAUAGGAAGGAACACCAGUGGCGAAGGCGACCACCUGGACUGAUACUGACACUGAGGUGCGAAAGCGUGGGGAGCAAAC
This 745-nucleotide ribosomal RNA is filed under the name uncultured bacterium. Its description in RNAcentral is "bacterial SSU rRNA". It matches the Rfam family "Bacterial small subunit ribosomal RNA", at positions 33 to 773 of the family's 1533-position model. The record is from RNAcentral.